GUGCUCACUUCAGAAGCACAUAUACUAAAGAGAAGAUUAGCAUGGCCCCUGUACAAUGAUGACACACAAAUUCAUGAAGCAUUCCAUAUUUUU
This 93-nucleotide small nuclear RNA is filed under the name Vombatus ursinus (common wombat). Lineage: Eukaryota; Metazoa; Chordata; Mammalia; Diprotodontia; Vombatidae. The record is from RNAcentral.